CCUACGGGAGGCAGCAGUGGGGAAUAUUGGGCAAUGGGCGCAAGCCUGACCCAGCAACGCCGCGUGAAGGAAGAAGGCUUUCGGGUUGUAAACUUCUUUUGACAGGGAAGAGGAGAAGACGGUACCUGUCGAAUAAGCCACGGCUAACUACGUGCCAGCAGCCGCGGUAAUACGUAGGUGGCAAGCAGUGUCCGGAUUUACUGGGUGGAAAGGGCGUGUAGCCGGGUUGACAAGUCAGAUGUGAAAUCCUGCGGCUUAACCGCAGAACUGCAUUUGAAACUGUUGAUCUUGCGUACUGGAGAGGCCGCCGGACUUCCUCGUGUAGCGGUGAACUGCGUAGAUAUUAGGAGGAACACCAGUGGCGAAGGCGGUCUGCUGGACAGCACCUGCCGGUGAGGCGCGAAAGCGUGGGGAGCAAACAGGAUUAGAUACCCGUGUAGUC
Molecule: ribosomal RNA, 442 nt
Filed under: uncultured bacterium
Lineage: Bacteria
Description: partial 16S ribosomal RNA
Rfam family: Bacterial small subunit ribosomal RNA
Source: RNAcentral